AGACUGGAAGUUGGGAUAUGAGUAGGAGGAAGUGUCAUGAGAUGGAUAAUUAUGUGGCGCAUGCUGAUGAAGUUCUUGCGAGUAGGAUUGAUGGUGGUACGGCUGAGAAUAUGUAUCAUUCUCUGAUCUGCUGGCUGGAGGUGGUGGAUGAAAAUCAUGGGAAGCAUAACCAGCAGAAGGGUAAGAAGGAGGUGGUGGCAGGAUGCCUGUAGAAUGGUGGUUGU
This 224-nucleotide unclassified non-coding RNA is filed under the name Hevea brasiliensis (rubber tree). The record is from RNAcentral. Lineage: Eukaryota; Viridiplantae; Streptophyta; Magnoliopsida; Malpighiales; Euphorbiaceae.